This is a long non-coding RNA of Myotis myotis, 1782 nucleotides long. RefSeq lists it as uncharacterized. Lineage: Eukaryota; Metazoa; Chordata; Mammalia; Chiroptera; Vespertilionidae. The record is from RefSeq and is a predicted model, not a curated record. The transcript has 3 exons.
GGGAUAACAUGUGCCACAGAAGAAGAUCAGAGGCUGGUGUGGGCCACUCCGUUCAUCGGGCAUCAUCUCACUCAUGGGAUCACCAGGAUAGGAUGACAUAAAAAGGGAAUCACUGGCAUCUUCAACAUCAGGACAAGCAUCCUCACCACCAGAAUCAUCACUUUCAACAUUAACUAUGCCUCAAUGAAAAGAAACGAGAGUGACCAAGCUUGCAAAUAUGUCUGGAACUUCAAGAGGGCAGUGCAGGAAACAAUCAAAUCUAGUAUUUUGAGGCAAUUCCUGAGAAGCACAUGACAUGUUUCUGAACAAUACCUCUGCUCAUCUGGAGAUACUUUCUAGAUGUCUCCCAUUGUUAAAAUGCUCUGGUUCCAGAUUUCCCUCCUCAGGAAAGUUAACCUGCCAAAAUAGUUUUUCCCAUAGUUAGAAAUAUAUAGUCAUAGAAAUAAAAAUAUUUUGAGCAAUUCUUAUGCUUCUGUAGCCACAUAUGUAAUCAUCAUCAAAGGGAUAAUGUAACUACAGUGUGCCCUGAAGAAUCACAUGCUCAAUAUUAUAGUAUAGAAAUCAGAAAUCUCUAAGAGCCACAUAUUGGCCCCAGUAUGGAUAAUUACUAGUCUUAAACUCUGCUUACUUACUGAACAAAUAUUUACUACACCUACUAUUGGCCUGGCAUUGUGCUGGAAUAUGGAGAAGAAAGGUACAUACCAGGAAGGAACCUAAUAUGAGAGACAGACAAAAAAAAUCAAGGAUGAGGAGGAUAUGAUGUGUACAGAAGAAGAAUAUGCCUAACCCAGCGUGGAGUUAUCAGAGAUGGCUUCAAAAAUGAAAAUGGGCUUGACGUAAGUCUGCAAGGGUGACCAGAAUGUAAACCAGAUAGGCGUAAUGGUGCAUAUCGUGCCAGAGAGAGGAGGUGAAGAAGAGCAUGGUGGGCUCAGGGGACCAUAAUAUAUUUGGUGUGGUUGGAGUGAGGAUGUGAGAGAGGGGAUGAGCUGGAAGUCCACAGAGAUAAUAGAUGGUGUCCCUGAAGGAUUGUCAGCAGGGAUGUGAGUUGACCAGAUUUGGAAGAAAUAUGGAGAUAGGAAGACCAUGUCUUGCUGCUGGAGACCAAGACAUGAGGAGAGAUUCAACUGGGACUUAAGAGAGAGAAGGGCUGGUUGAAAUGGCAGUUUGGAGGUAACAGUGAGGGCACUGAAUGAGCCCAAGGGCAUACCCAGAUUUAUGGUCAGGUAGAGAGCCAAUACAGGAACAAAGAAUUUUGUAUAGGGGUUGGGGCAGGCUAGAAGGGGACAUAUAUAAUACUUUCAACAAUAAAGAUUAUUUUUUUUAAAAAAAAUUUUGAACAGGAUUGAGUUAGGCAGUGAGAACGGGAUGGAGAGAUAGUAAGUGACAUGUACCAUGGGUUUAUUUUACAAAAACAAACAAAACCAUAGCUCUCCCCACAUACUGCACAAUUUAAAGGGUUCCUAUAUGGUAUGAAUAGUGUCUCCCCAAAAUCUGUGUCUACUCAGAAUGUGACCUUAUUUGGAAAUAGGAUCUUGCAGAUGUAGUUAAGAUGAGGUCAUACUGGAUCAGGGUGAGCCCUAAAUCCAAUGACUGGUAUUCUCAUGAGAAAGGAGAGAGGACACACAGAGAAGAAGCCCAUAUGGAUUCAACUGUGGAGAUUGGAGUGAUUGCCACAUGCAGGCAAUUGCCAGGGGCCAUCAGCAUCUGAGAAGGGGCAAGAAAAUGUUCUACCCUGGAGCUUUCAGAGAGAGCAUGGGUCUGCCUACACCUUGAUUUCAGACU